GAUGAAGAACGAAGCGAAAUGCGAUAAGUAAUGCGAAUUGCAGAAUUCCAGUGAGUCAUCGAAUCUUUGAACGCACAUUGCGCCCUUUGGUAUUCCGAAGGGCAUGCCUGUUCGAGCGUCAUUAUCACCCCUCAAGCCCUCGGCUUGGUGUUGGACGGUUUGGUGGAGGCCCCCUCGGGGGUUCCUGCCCCUCCCAAAGACAAUGACGGCGGCCUCGUUGGACCCCCGGUACACUGAGUUCUUCACGGGACACGUAUCGGACACAUGGGUUUACGGGACACGGUCUGCCUCCCCUCAGGGAGAAUCUUUCUAAGGUUGACCUCGGAUCAGGUAGGGAUACCCGCUGAACUUAAGCAUAUCAAUAAGCGGAGGA
RNAcentral lists this unclassified non-coding RNA (373 nucleotides) under soil metagenome. RNAcentral describes it as "partial contains 5.8S ribosomal RNA, internal transcribed spacer 2, and large subunit ribosomal RNA". The stretch from base 1 to 121 matches the Rfam family "5.8S ribosomal RNA", at positions 35 to 154 of the family's 154-position model. The record is from RNAcentral.